RNAcentral lists this ribosomal RNA (497 nucleotides) under uncultured bacterium. RNAcentral describes it as "partial 16S ribosomal RNA". It matches the Rfam family "Bacterial small subunit ribosomal RNA", at positions 28 to 507 of the family's 1533-position model. The record is from RNAcentral.
GAUGAACGCUGGCGGCGUGCCUAAUACAUGCAAGUCGAGCGAACAGACGAGGAGCUUGCUCCUCUGACGUUAGCGGCGGACGGGUGAGUAACACGUUGAUAACCUACCUAUAAGACUGGGAUAACUUCGGGAAACCGGAGCUAAUACCGGAUAAUAUAUUGAACCGCAUGGUUCAAUAGUGAAAGACGGUUUUGCUGUCACUUAUAGAUGGAUCCGCGCCGCAUUAGCUAGUUGGUAAGGUAACGGCUUACCAAGGCGACGAUGCGUAGCCGACCUGAGAGGGUGAUAGGCCACACUGGAACUGAGACACGGUCCAGACUCCUACGGGAGGCAGCAGUAGGGAAUCUUACGCAAUGGGCGAAAGCCUGACGGAGCAACGCCGCGUGAGUGAUGAAGGUCUUCGGAUCGUAAAACUCUGUUAUUAGGGAAGAACAAAUGUGUAAGUAACUAUGCACGUCUUGACGGUACCUAAUCAGAAAGCCACGGCUAACUACGUG